This 220-nucleotide ribosomal RNA is filed under the name uncultured bacterium. RNAcentral's name for it is "partial 16S ribosomal RNA". It matches the Rfam family "Bacterial small subunit ribosomal RNA", at positions 57 to 305 of the family's 1533-position model. The record is from RNAcentral.
GCAAGUCACACGGGUAGCAAUACAAGUGGCAAACGGGUGAGUAAUGCACAGGAAUCUGCCUUUUGGAGGGGAACAACUUGGGGAAACUCAAGCUAAUUCCGCGUAAUGCCGUAAGGUGAAAGCAGCAAUGCGUUAAAAGAUGAGCCUGUGUUUGAUUAGUUUGUUGGUGAGGUAAUGGCUUACCAAGACUACGAUCAAUAGCUGGUUUGAGAAGACGAUC